AGUAAACUUUUUUGUAGCCUUGGAAGCUUUACCCAUUUCCCCGAGAAAACAAAAACACCAGUUCAAUUGCAGAUGAACGUAGUAGUAAAUUCACUUCGCUGUAAAUGUGUGAGAAAUUCAGGUUGAGUAACACGGGUAACAGUGCAAGGAUUUCUCAAAAAUUAGCAGCUUUUAUGGUAUUUGAAAAGUGAAUUGGAAUAUUUUGACUGUAGGAUUAAAAAUAUGUGCUCCUUCAAGCAGCUGAUCA
Schizosaccharomyces pombe (fission yeast) is the source of this 247-nucleotide non-coding RNA. Lineage: Eukaryota; Fungi; Ascomycota; Schizosaccharomycetes; Schizosaccharomycetales; Schizosaccharomycetaceae. The record is from the annotation of a GenBank genome assembly.